Molecule: transfer RNA, 76 nt
Filed under: Peribacillus asahii
Lineage: Bacteria; Bacillati; Bacillota; Bacilli; Caryophanales; Bacillaceae
Description: tRNA-Lys
Rfam family: tRNA
About the family: Transfer RNA (tRNA) molecules are approximately 80 nucleotides in length. Their secondary structure includes four short double-helical elements and three loops (D, anti-codon, and T loops). Further hydrogen bonds mediate the characteristic L-shaped molecular structure. tRNAs have two regions of fundamental functional importance: the anti-codon, which is responsible for specific mRNA codon recognition, and the 3' end, to which the tRNAs corresponding amino acid is attached (by aminoacyl-tRNA synthetases). tRNAs cope with the degeneracy of the genetic code in two manners: having more than one tRNA (with a specific anti-codon) for a particular amino acid; and 'wobble' base-pairing, i.e. permitting non-standard base-pairing at the 3rd anti-codon position.
Source: RNAcentral
GAGUCAUUAGCUCAGUUGGUAGAGCAUCUGACUUUUAAUCAGAGGGUCGCAGGUUCGAGUCCUGCAUGACUCACCA